Molecule: transfer RNA, 380 nt
Filed under: uncultured Pelagibacterales bacterium
Lineage: Bacteria; Pseudomonadati; Pseudomonadota; Alphaproteobacteria; Candidatus Pelagibacterales
Description: partial 16S-23S ribosomal RNA intergenic spacer
Rfam family: tRNA (bases 107-180)
Source: RNAcentral
CCUCCUUUCUAAGGAUGAGUGAAAGUAAAAUUUCACUCUAAAUAAUAUACAUCGGUAAUGUUGACCGUCCUCAUUUCUCUUCUUAAAGUAAUGUUUCCUUCUUGUAGGGCCGGUAGCUCAGUUGGUUAGAGCACACCCUUGAUAAGGGUGGGGUCGAAAGUUCGAGUCUUUCUCGGCCCACCAAAAACCUAAAUGGGGGAUUAGCUCAUCUGGGAGAGCGCCUGAUUUGCAUUCAGGAGGUAGCAGGUUCGAUCCCUGUAUCCUCCACCAGGAAACAUUUAGUUAUUAAAACUGUAAAUAAAAAUAAUUUAUAUCAAUAUCUAUAUCCGAACAUUAAAAGUUAUUAUUUAAUGUUCAAAAUAAAAAUUUGAUCACAACAU